Molecule: ribosomal RNA, 275 nt
Filed under: uncultured bacterium
Lineage: Bacteria
Description: partial 16S ribosomal RNA
Rfam family: Bacterial small subunit ribosomal RNA
Source: RNAcentral
CCUACGGGGGGCUGCAGUGGGGAAUCUUGCGCAAUGGGCGAAAGCCUGACGCAGCGACGCCGCGUGAGUGAUGAAGGCCUUCGGGUUGUAAAGCUCUGUGGAGGGGGACGAAUAAGUGUCGUCGAAUAGACGGCAUGAUGACGGUACCCCUUUAGCAAGCACCGGCUAACUCUGUGCCAGCAGCCGCGGUAAGACAGAGGGUGCAAACGUUGUUCGGAAUUACUGGGCGUAAAGCGCGUGUAGGCUGCUCGGAAAGUCGGAUGUGAAAGCCCUGG